This 483-nucleotide ribosomal RNA is filed under the name uncultured bacterium. RNAcentral's name for it is "partial 16S ribosomal RNA". It matches the Rfam family "Bacterial small subunit ribosomal RNA", at positions 30 to 507 of the family's 1533-position model. The record is from RNAcentral.
AUUGAACGCUGGCGGCAUGCUUUACACAUGCAAGUCGAACGGCAGCGCGGGCUUCGCCCUGCCGCGAGGUGCGAACCGGGUGGGUAAACAACGGGACGUUGCCCGUAGUGGGGGAUUGGUCGGCCAAAGGCGGAUUAAUUCCCCAAACGGCCCGAAGGUUGAAACGGGGGGUUUUUGGGCCUCCCGCCAUUUGGGCGGCCCAUGGCAGAUUAGCCAGUUGGUUGGGUAAAGGCCUACCAAGGCGACGAUCCGUAGCUGGUCUGAGAGGACGACCAGCCACACUGGGACUGAGACACGGCCCAGACUCCUACGGGAGGCAGCAGUGGGGAAUUUUGGACAAUGGGCGAAAGCCUGAUCCAGCAAUGCCGCGUGUGUGAUGAAGGCCUUCGGGUUGUAAAGCACUUUUGGCGGGAACGAAAAGGACUGUGCCAAUACCACGGUUCGAUGACGGUACCCGCAGAAUAAGCACCGGCUAACUACGUG